GGGUUGUGAGGUUAAGCGACUAAGCGUACACGGUGGAUGCCCUGGCAGUCAGAGGCGAUGAAGGACGUGCUAAUCUGCGAUAAGCGUCGGUAAGGUGAUAUGAACCGUUAUAACCGGCGAUUUCCGAAUGGGGAAACCCAGUGUGAUUCGUCACACUAUCAUUAACUGAAUCCAUAGGUUAAUGAGGCGAACCGGGGGAACUGAAACAUCUAAGUACCCCGAGGAAAAGAAAUCAACCGAGAUUCCCCCAGUAGCGGCGAGCGNNNNNNNNNNNNNNNNNNNNNNNNNNNNNNNNNNNNNNNNNNNNNNNNNNNNNNNNNNNNNNNNNNNNGAUGAGUAGGGCGGGACACGUGGUAUCCUGUCUGAAUAUGGGGGGACCAUCCUCCAAGGCUAAAUACUCCUGACUGACCGAUAGUGAACCAGUACCGUGAGGGAAAGGCGAAAAGAACCCCGGCGAGGGGAGUGAAAAAGAACCUGAAACCGUGUACGUACAAGCAGUGGGAGCACGCUUAGGCGUGUGACUGCGUACCUUUUGUAUAAUGGGUCAGCGACUUAUAUUCUGUAGCAAGGUUAACCGAAUAGGGGAGCCGAAGGGAAACCGAGUCUUAACUGGGCGUUAAGUUGCAGGGUAUAGACCCGAAACCCGGUGAUCUAGCCAUGGGCAGGUUGAAGGUUGGGUAACACUAACUGGAGGACCGAACCGACUAAUGUUGAAAAAUUAGCGGAUGACUUGUGGCUGGGGGUGAAAGGCCAAUCAAACCGGGAGAUAGCUGGUUCUCCCCGAAAGCUAUUUAGGUAGCGCCUCGUGAAUUCAUCUCCGGGGGUAGAGCACUGUUUCGGCAAGGGGGUCAUCCCGACUUACCAACCCGAUGCAAACUGCGAAUACCGGAGAAUGUUAUCACGGGAGACACACGGCGGGUGCUAACGUCCGUCGUGAAGAGGGAAACAACCCAGACCGCCAGCUAAGGUCCCAAAGUCAUGGUUAAGUGGGAAACGAUGUGGGAAGGCCCAGACAGCCAGGAUGUUGGCUUAGAAGCAGCCAUCAUUUAAAGAAAGCGUAAUAGCUCACUGGUCGAGUCGGCCUGCGCGGAAGAUGUAACGGGGCUAAACCAUGCACCGAAGCUGCGGCAGCGACGCUUAUGCGUUGUUGGGUAGGGGAGCGUUCUGUAAGCCUGCGAAGGUGUGCUGUGAGGCAUGCUGGAGGUAUCAGAAGUGCGAAUGCUGACAUAAGUAACGAUAAAGCGGGUGAAAAGCCCGCUCGCCGGAAGACCAAGGGUUCCUGUCCAACGUUAAUCGGGGCAGGGUGAGUCGACCCCUAAGGCGAGGCCGAAAGGCGUAGUCGAUGGGAAACAGGUUAAUAUUCCUGUACUUGGUGUUACUGCGAAGGGGGGACGGAGAAGGCUAUGUUGGCCGGGCGACGGUUGUCCCGGUUUAAGCGUGUAGGCUGGUUUUCCAGGCAAAUCCGGAAAAUCAAGGCUGAGGCGUGAUGACGAGGCACUACGGUGCUGAAGCAACAAAUGCCCUGCUUCCAGGAAAAGCCUCUAAGCAUCAGGUAACAUCAAAUCGUACCCCAAACCGACACAGGUGGUCAGGUAGAGAAUACCAAGGCGCUUGAGAGAACUCGGGUGAAGGAACUAGGCAAAAUGGUGCCGUAACUUCGGGAGAAGGCACGCUGAUAUGUAGGUGAAGUCCCUUGCGGAUGGAGCUGAAAUCAGUCGAAGAUACCAGCUGGCUGCAACUGUUUAUUAAAAACACAGCACUGUGCAAACACGAAAGUGGACGUAUACGGUGUGACGCCUGCCCGGUGCCGGAAGGUUAAUUGAUGGGGUCAGCGCAAGCGAAGCUCUUGAUCGAAGCCCCGGUAAACGGCGGCCGUAACUAUAACGGUCCUAAGGUAGCGAAAUUCCUUGUCGGGUAAGUUCCGACCUGCACGAAUGGCGUAAUGAUGGCCAGGCUGUCUCCACCCGAGACUCAGUGAAAUUGAACUCGCUGUGAAGAUGCAGUGUACCCGCGGCAAGACGGAAAGACCCCGUGAACCUUUACUAUAGCUUGACACUGAACAUUGAGCCUUGAUGUGUAGGAUAGGUGGGAGGCUUUGAAGUGUGGACGCCAGUCUGCAUGGAGCCGGCCUUGAAAUACCACCCUUUAAUGUUUGAUGUUCUAACGUGGACCCGUGAUCCGGGUUGCGGACAGUGUCUGGUGGGUAGUUUGACUGGGGCGGUCUCCUCCUAAAGAGUAACGGAGGAGCACGAAGGUUGGCUAAUCCUGGUCGGACAUCAGGAGGUUAGUGCAAUGGCAUAAGCCAGCUUGACUGCGAGCGUGACGGCGCGAGCAGGUGCGAAAGCAGGUCAUAGUGAUCCGGUGGUUCUGAAUGGAAGGGCCAUCGCUCAACGGAUAAAAGGUACUCCGGGGAUAACAGGCUGAUACCGCCCAAGAGUUCAUAUCGACGGCGGUGUUUGGCACCUCGAUGUCGGCUCAUCACAUCCUGGGGCUGAAGUAGGUCCCAAGGGUAUGGCUGUUCGCCAUUUAAAGUGGUACGCGAGCUGGGUUUAGAACGUCGUGAGACAGUUCGGUCCCUAUCUGCCGUGGGCGCUGGAGAACUGAGGGGGGCUGCUCCUAGUACGAGAGGACCGGAGUGGACGCAUCACUGGUGUUCGGGUUGUCAUGCCAAUGGCACUGCCCGGUAGCUAAAUGCGGAAGAGAUAAGUGCUGAAAGCAUCUAAGCACGAAACUUGCCCCGAGAUGAGUUCUCCCUGACCCUUUAAGGGUCCUGAAGGAACGUUGAAGACGACGACGUUGAUAGGCCGGGUGUGUAAGCGCAGCGAUGCGUUGAGCUAACCGGUACUAAUGAACCGUGAGGCUUAACCUUACAACGCCGAAG
RNAcentral lists this ribosomal RNA (2881 nucleotides) under Shigella sonnei. RNAcentral describes it as "23S ribosomal RNA". It matches the Rfam family "Bacterial large subunit ribosomal RNA". The record is from RNAcentral. Lineage: Bacteria; Pseudomonadati; Pseudomonadota; Gammaproteobacteria; Enterobacterales; Enterobacteriaceae.